RNAcentral lists this ribosomal RNA (90 nucleotides) under Acanthosepion pharaonis. Lineage: Eukaryota; Metazoa; Mollusca; Cephalopoda; Sepiida; Sepiidae. The record is from RNAcentral.
CGAGUUCCCGUAUGAUCUCCGAAGUUAAGCAACGUUGAGCCUGGUCAGUACCUAAAUGGGUGACCGCCUGGGGAUAACAGGUGCUGUAAG